AGUGGGAAAUUGGACAAUGGGCGCAAGCCUGAUCCAGCCUGCCGCGUGAGUGAAGAAGGCCUUAGGGUCGUAAAGCUCUUUCACCUGUGAUGAUAAUGACAGUAUCUGGAAAAGAAACCCCGGCUAACUUCGUGCCAGCAGCCGCGGUAAUA
Molecule: ribosomal RNA, 152 nt
Filed under: uncultured Alphaproteobacteria bacterium
Lineage: Bacteria; Pseudomonadati; Pseudomonadota; Alphaproteobacteria
Description: partial 16S ribosomal RNA
Rfam family: Bacterial small subunit ribosomal RNA
Source: RNAcentral